CGCACAUUGCGCCCUCUGGUAUUCCGGGGGGCAUGCCUGUUCGAGCGUCAUUAUCACACUCAAGCUCUUUUUGCUUGGUAUUGGGGGCCUAGCUUUCUCCUCUAGGGGAGAAGGCUUCCCCCGAAAAUCAGCGGCGGUGCGGCCGGUUAACCCUCCAGCGCAGUGGCUUUUACGUUUCAACGCUGUAGUAGGGCCGGUAUUGCUCCUGCCGGGCAACAACCAACUAUUUUCUAAUGAUUGACCUCGGAUCAGGUAGGGAUACCCGCUGAACUUAA
This 275-nucleotide unclassified non-coding RNA is filed under the name Dufourea capensis. Its description in RNAcentral is "partial contains 5.8S ribosomal RNA, internal transcribed spacer 2, and large subunit ribosomal RNA". The record is from RNAcentral. Lineage: Eukaryota; Fungi; Ascomycota; Lecanoromycetes; Teloschistales; Teloschistaceae.